This 83-nucleotide ribosomal RNA is filed under the name Tamarindus indica. Its description in RNAcentral is "partial 18S rRNA". It matches the Rfam family "Eukaryotic small subunit ribosomal RNA", at positions 1749 to 1831 of the family's 1831-position model. Lineage: Eukaryota; Viridiplantae; Streptophyta; Magnoliopsida; Fabales; Fabaceae. The record is from RNAcentral.
GGAAAGUCCCCCUUACCUUAUCAUUUAGAGGAAGGAGAAGUCGUAACAAGGUUUCCGUAGGUGAACCUGCGGAAGGAUCAUUG